GAAAUUCCUUAACCAGUAACUGUCAUUGCUGCACACGACACGCAGUGAAAUCCCUUAUCAAUCGCCUAUAUAAGCGUGGAGCGUUGCCUGUCGUUUCAGAACUGCCUUUCAGAGUUACUCGACAGUGUGCAGUGUUGAUACAACUUCAAAAUGCCUGAUCCUUGCUGUAACGAGAAAUGCGUUUGUGCCGAGGGUGUCUGCACGAAGAGCUGCAAGUGCACAAGCUGCAAAUGCUCGUCUGGCUGCGCGUGUCCCUCCAAGGAGGAGUGCGCGACGAGAUGCACGAAGCCAUGCAGCUGUUGCCCAUAGACGUGACUCGACUACUGCCUUCUGCAUGACCAAGCAACGAAAAUAUUUAUUCUUCUAUCUCUCGUAUGUUAUGACUGAAUUAUUGGAAUGUGUCUGAAUAAAUGAAAGAAUGUGAAAA
Penaeus indicus is the source of this 427-nucleotide long non-coding RNA. RefSeq lists it as uncharacterized. The record is from RefSeq and is a predicted model, not a curated record. NCBI's taxonomy places the organism in Eukaryota, Metazoa, Arthropoda, Malacostraca, Decapoda, Penaeidae. The transcript is spliced from 3 exons.